AAAAAAAAAAAAGCUCCUCUCUCUCUCAGACCUAACCUAGCCGCCGCUGUACGUGUUCUCCGCCUGAGACCGGUGGCUGGUGGCUUCCACAGCACUGGUGCUGGUCUCCCCCUGUAGUAGUUGCUUUUCUCUUUUUGGUUUUACUGUUUUUCUGCGAUGUGGUGAAAAUCUUGCCUUGCUUCGUCUGGAUUUGGGUGGUGGUUAUGGGUUGUCUUUGGCCGGAGUUGGAGGACGAAGUUGGCUUCCUGCAAACCAUCUUCGCCUGCGACUUUCUUCUUCCUCCCCGGAUCGUUUCAGGCUCGCUGGGUGGGUCUCUCCGACCUUGAUGUGGAGUUGAAUGUUCUCCGAUUGGUUUUUGUGGUUCUCCGAUCUGUGAUUUUCGUCUCUGUUCUUGUCUGAUUGGGAUUCGAUUUUGGUUUGUCGAGUUUUCUGGCUGCGUCCUUUGGAUCUGCGGGCAACGGCCUUCGUCGACAUCUAUCUCACAGGUCGUCCCUCAAUUUACCUUCGGUUAAUUGCUUUGUUGUUGGAGUAUAUUUGGUUGAGAGUAGAAGCCUUAGUUUCAAGUUUAGGGCUGGCAAUAUUGACUUCUAGUUCUGCCUCCUGUUACUUUCUGCCCGGUUAUUGGUGUUUUGAGUUUGUGAAGGUUUCGUUUUGUGGGUUCUUCAUUCGGAUGGUAGUCUCCUGCAAAGGCAUCUACUAGCUCUCUUCCUUAUCCUUUUUUGGAUUUAAGAUUUGAGUUCAAGACGAUGUGGUAGGCUCGGUCUUCAUUCCUUCUCUAGCGUGGCGUAACCAGUUCUUAGGCUGUAGAUGGUUUUGGCUGGGUCUACGAAUGUCCGCGUGUAAGGUUUGUUGGUCCUCUUUGGCGUUUUCCCCUUCGGAUCUCAAGGCUUCUCCUUGUCCUUUCACCUGCUUGUAUUCUCUGGUUUUUGGUGUGGUAGUGAUGGUUAGGAUCUGUGCUCUGAUCUUCUUAUUUGUCUGUGUUCGUUUCUGCUGGGUUUGUGGUUGUGUGAGCUUGGUUUAGUAUCCUUCUCGGGCCUUUCAUAUAAAAGCAAUCUAAUGAUGGGUCCUCUUGUUGCUCCUGUUGGGAACCACUUUCCAGCGCCCAAAAUGUUCUAUGGAAAUGUUCGUCGGAUGCUUUUAGUGAAGAGUUUGCAGUUGUGUUGCUUGAGUCUUAGGUAUUAGUCAUUCCCUAUACUUUAAGGUUUUUCUUCUUUAAUGUCUGCCUUUUUUGGCCUUUGUCUCUGGGGGUUUCUAUGUACCCGCCGGCUUUGUUUUCCGGAAGGAUUUAUUUCCUUGCCGCUAUGUAUUAUCUCCAAGUAUCUUAUCAAUGAAUUAUUCAGACGAAAAAAAAAA
This 1353-nucleotide long non-coding RNA is filed under the name Arabidopsis lyrata. RNAcentral describes it as "long non-coding RNA (ALYR_LNC002661)". The record is from RNAcentral. Lineage: Eukaryota; Viridiplantae; Streptophyta; Magnoliopsida; Brassicales; Brassicaceae.